UGGGGAAUAUUGCACAAUGGGCGGAAGCCUGAUGCAGCGACGCCGCGUGGGGGAUGAAGGCCUUCGGGUUGUAAACUCCUUUCGACAGGGACGAAGCUUUUGUGACGGUACCUGUAUAAGAAGCACCGGCUAACUACGUGCCAGCAGCCGCGGUAAUACGUAGGGUGCGAGCGUUGUCCGGAAUUACUGGGCGUAAAGAGCUCGUAGGUGGUUUGUCGCGUUGUCUGUGAAAUUCCGGGGCUUAACUCCGGGCGUGCAGGCGAUACGGGCUGACUUGAGUGCUGAAGGGGAGACUGGAAUUCCUGGGGUAGCGGUGAAAUGCGCAGAUAUCAGGAGGAACACCGAUGGCGAAGGCAGGUCUCUGGGCAGUAACUGACGCUGAGGAGCGAAAGCAUGGGUAGCGAACAGG
RNAcentral lists this ribosomal RNA (409 nucleotides) under Actinomycetes bacterium. RNAcentral's name for it is "Actinobacteria bacterium partial 16S ribosomal RNA". It matches the Rfam family "Bacterial small subunit ribosomal RNA", at positions 355 to 776 of the family's 1533-position model. Lineage: Bacteria; Bacillati; Actinomycetota; Actinomycetes. The record is from RNAcentral.